RNAcentral lists this ribosomal RNA (253 nucleotides) under Escherichia coli. Its description in RNAcentral is "partial 16S ribosomal RNA". It matches the Rfam family "Bacterial small subunit ribosomal RNA", at positions 1050 to 1303 of the family's 1533-position model. The record is from RNAcentral. Lineage: Bacteria; Pseudomonadati; Pseudomonadota; Gammaproteobacteria; Enterobacterales; Enterobacteriaceae.
UGUCGUCAGCUCGUGUUGUGAAAUGUUGGGUUAAGUCCCGCAACGAGCGCAACCCUUAUCCUUUGUUGCCAGCGGUCCGGCCGGGAACUCAAAGGAGACUGCCAGUGAUAAACUGGAGGAAGGUGGGGAUGACGUCAAGUCAUCAUGGCCCUUACGACCAGGGCUACACACGUGCUACAAUGGCGCAUACAAAGAGAAGCGACCUCGCGAGAGCAAGCGGACCUCAUAAAGUGCGUCGUAGUCCGGAUUGGAG